Brassica napus (rape) is the source of this 1559-nucleotide long non-coding RNA. RefSeq lists it as uncharacterized. The record is from RefSeq and is a predicted model, not a curated record. The transcript is spliced from 2 exons. NCBI's taxonomy places the organism in Eukaryota, Viridiplantae, Streptophyta, Magnoliopsida, Brassicales, Brassicaceae.
AUAUAUAUAAACCUCGAUACAUCAAGAGAUAGUACGUACAUGCUGAUGAUAAGACUGCACAAAGAAAGUUCACAUCGUGUAUGUGUGUAUAUUACUCUCUUUUUUUUGAGCAACAAAUUCAUUAAUUUAAAACUUAAGAAGACAAGUGAAAUGAGUUUAGGCCCAAAACAAUAUGGAUUGAAAAACAAGCUUUCGUAAGCCCAUUCACUGGUCCAUUAUUAGCUCUUGGGAUGAAAAUGAAACGACACGACAACAUGCAAAGGGAAAGAAAACAGAAAACGAUAGAUCGUCGAUAUCGUCUAAGACCCCGUAGAGCUCUGUCGUGUGUGUGUCGGUGAGAAGAGAUUGCUUGAACAAGCACUUGAGAAUCUGUUCGAAUACAGAUAUGAGAAUAGUUUUGAUAGGCUGUGUGGAGUAGAGCUUCUCUGACUGCAAGGGCUUCCCCCAUACAAGGUGAGGAUAACUGAACUUUGUGUCUUAGAUCCACGAUUCAGCUCCUUUGAAGCGUGGUCCGUAAAGAUCUAUGCUAAUCCUGCAUUUCUUGUUGUAGGGUUGCAUGAGGCGUCGGUAUUGCAGAAGAUCACAUCGUGUAUAUUACUCACUGACAUGCUGAUGAUAAGACUGCAUAAAGCAAGUUCACAUCGUGUAUGUGUGUAUAUUACUUCACGUGUAUAUAUAUACAUUAACUGAAUCAAAAAACAAGUAGAUAUAAUGGUAAAUCCUGAAUCAAUUAGCUGAAUCAAAACAAGUAGAAGAUGAAACAUAGUGUCCAUGAGAAGCGGUACCCUCCCCAUAUUUUCUUUUAUAUUUAUGUUUGCUUUGUUGGGUUCCUUUAUGUUGCUGUUAUUCUCUAAAUUCUGACAGAGAAAGAAAUGAGACAUGUAGUCAGCCAAAACAAGUGGAGUGCAUGCAAAGAUAGCGAGACAUCUAAAGCAUCAGUCAUGUGCUUUUUCAGUUACCAUCACGUGAUUGAACUAAUGAGGAUUAAGAAGUUCAAUUAUGUGGACUCGUGGAGCAUCUAAGGAUUUUCAAAGGCCCGCAACACAUUGUUUUUGAACCAAGACAUACAGCUAUCCAAGAAUGAUUCAUUUUUUUUUCAUUCUGUCUUUAUCUAAAAUUUAUACAUUUUUUAAAUCUUACGGUUCAAUUAAAGUCAUUUUCAAAAUUUUUUUUUUUUUAAUUUCAUUUAACCCACGCAUUCUCAAUGCACAUAUGUACUAUUUCUACAGAUAUGAGCUAUAUGACAGCUUGAUUCCAACAAAAUCUACUUAACAUUUCCUUCUUUUUAUUCUUCUUUUUGUGACACAAAUCUACUUAACACUUCUAAUUUAGUAACUGAUUCAAAAAAGCGGAAAUAAGAAGAUGGAGUGGAGGAGGAGGAUAAGCAAUCGGCAAUAGCAGUAGAAGAAAGAGGGGUAAACGACAGCGUAAAGCAUUCUCACAUUUCAUUAUCUUUCAUAAUUUCCAGAAGAUUAUGAAAUUGAUCUCAGAUCUGAAUCUUGUUUUGUACUUACUUGCACUUACGAAUUGACUUAAGAUUUUAUAUGUGAAGUACAUGA